Molecule: long non-coding RNA, 293 nt
Filed under: Musa acuminata (dwarf banana)
Lineage: Eukaryota; Viridiplantae; Streptophyta; Magnoliopsida; Zingiberales; Musaceae
Description: long non-coding RNA (MACU_LNC008631)
Source: RNAcentral
UUUUUUACAGCGAUGCUCGCGGCUCCACGACUCGUCGCAAUGCCAACAUAACCCCAUCGCAGAUCGCUCCCGAAGUUCUUCUCUUGUUAACCUUUUCGGUGCAGGGACUCGGUUGAUAGUAGGGGGGGCUGAGGUCUUUAGUAUUGUAGGUCGUGGAGUGAUCCUAGUCCACCGGGCUUCAUGGUUCAAUCGCUCCUCUUGAAGUCGUGCGAAAGAGAUGGCUGCCAUAAGCGUGUAAGGUUGUCGCGCCUUAACUUCUCCCCGGAUCUCCGGCUUUAAGCCCUCAAUAAAGG